Molecule: long non-coding RNA, 519 nt
Organism: Betta splendens (Siamese fighting fish)
Lineage: Eukaryota; Metazoa; Chordata; Actinopteri; Anabantiformes; Osphronemidae
Exons: 2
Source: RefSeq, a predicted model, not a curated record
AUCCAGGAAGCAGGCACAGGCACCAAGGCGAUGCGUUCAUGGCCCGCUGUACAACCAACUAAUCCAGCUUCUAAAAACCUGCGUACAGUAUUUGCUGUGCGUGGCACUGCAUAGCAUCAGAGAGGGCCGUUCACCAAAUGGAUGCAGAAAAAACAAAUGGACUCUCUGCACUGCACUGAUCUUUGGGGAUCCACACACAAAUAUGGAGACAAGGCCGAAGAUGAAAAGAGCAACCAGUUCCCAUGAGGCGGCAGAAAUCUUUUUAAUACAGCAUCAAAUAGCACUACAAUAACAUAGUGUGGCCACGGGACCGAGCAGUCAACCCUGUGGUACACAGGAGCUAUUCCUAAACCUCUGACUUCACGUCCUGUUAUGUUUUAGUUUCACCUUAAAAUAGGCUGAUAUAAUAGCAUCUGUAAAUGUUCAGUUAAAGUGCACCAUAACUAUGUUUCCUCACAUUCAACACAGUCCAAUAAAACCUCUUUUUUUUUCCUGUACACUUAAAUGCUACCAUACAUU